Long non-coding RNA from Homo sapiens (human), 2503 nucleotides. Ensembl annotates it as long intergenic non-protein coding RNA 279. The record is from Ensembl. NCBI's taxonomy places the organism in Eukaryota, Metazoa, Chordata, Mammalia, Primates, Hominidae.
GACCUCUGUGGAAGUGUGUUGGUUGUGGAGUCUUGCCUGUCUUCUCUAUGGUAUCCACGGGGUUGUCCCAUGAUCCUAGGAGAGGAAAAACAUAAGCCAGCCUGAAGAUACGUCAAGCACAGCCACAGGAAUAAACUGCAAAAUCCCUAAGAAUCCAAAAGGAUCUGCAGGAUUUCUCAAGCCUGCCUAGAUGUCGAUGAAAUUCCAAGACAAUGGAGGAGUGUCCCUUCAUGAUGUGGAGAACCUGCUUGGCUCGAAACUGAAUUUGAGGUGAAGUUGUGGGACCCCAUUCAACCCUCAGCAGAUACUAUCCUCACCUGUAUCUGACCUUAUUGUGUUCACACUGCAUGUCACAGGAUGAAAUCCCAAGAUGAUGGAGGAGUGCCCCUCAUGAUGUGAAGCACUUGAUCAACUGGUAACAUAAUGUGAGGGGAAGUUUCAGGACACCAUCCACCCCUCAUCAGAUUGUAUUUACACUCCUACCUCACCUUGCUGUAGCUUACACUGUAUGUCCCAGGGUGAAACCCCAAGACAAUGGAGGAGGGCCAAGUCAUGAUCUGAAGCACCAACUCAGCUGGGAACCAAAUUUGAGGUGAAGUUGUGGGACCCCAUCCACUCCUCACCGGAUUGUAUCCACAUCUUUAUCUGUCUUAUUGUUGCUCAAGCUCUAUGUCCCAAGAUGAAAUCCCAAGAUGAUGAAAGAGUGCCUUUUCACGACGUGACGCAACUGCUUGGCUGGAACUGAAUUCGUGAUAAAUUCAAGGGGCAAUGUGGACAGGAUUUCUACUGUCUCUUAGUGAAAUUGUGAGACCCAAUCCACUCUUCACCAGAUUGUAUCCUCACCCCUAACUGACCUUAUUGCAGCUCACAUUCUAUGUCCCAAGACCAAAUCCCAAGAUGAUGGAGGAGUGCACCCUCACGACCUGAAGUACCUGCUCUUCAGGGAGCUGAAUUUGAGGUGGAGUUGUGGGAACUCAUCCAUUCCUCAUCAGAUUGUAUGCUAACCCCUAUCUGACAUUAUUGCUGCUCACACUUUAUAUGCCAGAAUAAAAUUCCAAGACAGUGGAGAAAUGCCACCUCAUGAUGCGAAGCACCUGCUUGGCUGGGAACCGAUUUCGAGUUAAAUUCAAGGGAACCUGUGGACAGGACUGCCGGUAUCUCUCUCUGGGCUGGACUCAGGACAAAGAAAAACAGGGAGAUGUCCAUUUUUUGAUGUGGUGUUCUCCUCUUCUUUAUAGAAGAGUAAAUUUUUUUCUUUUUUUCUUUUUUUUGCAGUAGGAGUUGAUAUGGACUCCAACGAGUCUCUGCAAGCCUUCCAAUUCACUGCGUAUUCAUAAUCCACAGAAAAAUAAAAAAAACAGAGCCCCACAGCCCAAGCAGAGCCACACAGAUAGGUUACAAAAAAAUUGGUAGACACAUGAAAAAGAAGUGUUGAAGUGCGUUAGCCACAUUUCUUUAAGCCAGCUCCACUUACAGGCAUGCACACACACACAAACACAUAAUGCCACACACACACACACAUACAGACAUUUAACACUUACAACACUCCCCCAGAAACACACAGCCAGAUAGCUCUUGAGUCUGUGUGGUUUUGCAGAAAGCCCCACCUGUGAGAGAGUAAACUCGGGGAACACAGUGGGGAUGUACCUAGAAAUCACAGAGGGGCAACUUUCAAAAAGACUCACCCAUCAGGCAGGCCUGGGGAAUCCUGAAGGUCCCUUUGUAUCCUUAGGGAUUUCAUACCCCUCCACAAAAAGAAGGCUGUGCAGUUGAAAUGAAACAGUGGCUAGAUUACCAGUAAGAAGCCAGACAUGACGGCCUUCUUCUCAUGCUACAGGAAUCAUGCAGCCUUCCAAUAGAAUUGGGAGAACAGGAGUUUCCUUGUUGGAGGCUGUAAUGAAAAUUUAUGGUUUUAAAAGUAUCAAAGCUGUCCAGCCAUUAAAACGUGAUAGUGUUUAGAAGGAAACACUCAAGCAAUGAAUUCCCAUGAGUGCCAUUCUCCGUGUACUGGGAAACUUUUCAUGUGAAAGUAAUUGAGCCAGAAUCAGAAAACCCUGGGCUGACAUGGAACAUGGAAAUCACAAAAGGAAGAGUAAAGUUGUGGGACCCCAUCCACCCUUCAUCAGUUUGUAUCUUCACCACUAUCUGACCUUAUUGCUGCUGACACUCCUUGUCACAGGAUGAAAUCCCAAGAUGAUGCAGGUGUUCCUCCUAGAGAUGUUAAGUGCCUGCUUGGGUGGAAACCGAAUUGGAGUUAAAUUCAAGAAGCCCUGCAGACAGGACUACUAGUGUCUCUUUCUGGUUUGGCCACAGGACAAUGAAACCCUGGAAGACAUCUGUUAAUUGGUGUGCUCCUCUUCUUUUUAGAAGAGUGGCUUUUUUGCAGUGGGAGGUGAUUUGGAUGCCGGACAUUCUUGGCCCACCUCCCACUUCACUGCAGAUUCAACAUGCACAUAAAAAUAAGGAACACAAAGCCACACAGCCAAAGCAGAGCCACACAGAC